This 208-nucleotide long non-coding RNA is filed under the name Hordeum vulgare. Its description in RNAcentral is "long non-coding RNA (HVUL_LNC012455)". Lineage: Eukaryota; Viridiplantae; Streptophyta; Magnoliopsida; Poales; Poaceae. The record is from RNAcentral.
AACCCAGUUAUUUGUCAAAUAUUAAAUCCAACACUAUUUCAUAUUCAAAUCAAGAAAACUCCAAGUCAAAUUAAAAUCAUCCAUCAUAUAACAUCACAUAAUACAUCUCCCAGGUUUACAUAACAAAAUAACUCAUCUCAUGGAUACAUUUCCUUACACGGAAAUAUAGCAAAAACGGACAGAAUAUAGCAAAUACAUUUCCUCCAGC